CUUUCUCCUCUCCGAGUGAGUUUGACAAUCAUCCGUCUCCUGUAAAUUACAGUCUGGAUGUCUGCGCGGGAUUGCAGAGUAAUAUGAGUAUGCAUCAGUGAACUGACAGGACUUAUGAAAGUCAGCCAACUUCCCUCCAUAACAACCACUUCUUGCAACAAAAGUCCCGAGUGAGGACAAGCUUGUGUUAGAGGGAGAUUUCACGAAACAGGACCCCCACAGGAGGCCCUGAAGGGAUGUUUCAAUUAGAGACAUUGUGAUUUCCUCCACUGUGAGGUCCAUUGAUCAUUCCAGUGCAUCAGCCCUCCAAGAAGAGCAAGGAGAUAAAGAUUUGUUUCUUCUUUAAUAGGUGACAAAACUCACAGCGUGAUGGUUUUGCUUUCCGCCCUCUCCUCUCUGUGUCUCUGUCUUCACCCUCUCUUACUUUUAUACUCUCUUCCUUUCCUUUUCUCUCUCUGGGAAAAGAAGAGGAAUAAAGGAGAGUGAAGGAAGGGGCUUGGUACACAUGUCAGACAGGCUUUGCAGCCUCUCUCUCCUUUCAUCUCUCUGGUUUGAGGGCUUUGAUUAUGGAACAGUCUCUCAUAUUAUCAAGAGCUGGCUAGCUUUUCAAAUCAUGCGAGCCAACAUUAUGUGUGGAAAUGACACCCCAUUGGCGACAUUAAAAAAAAAAAAAAAAACUCCAAUGAAAUGUGUAGCCGACUUAUUACUCUAGACGAACUCAUGCAUAUUCCAAUCUGUUUCUUGAGCUAGCUAGCUAGAACUAAUUCCCGCUAACUUCGGUUUACAUUGUGAGCUGUGAGGUAUAUUACUCAUUCAUAGUGAUCUACUCUAAAUUUACUUUCAUAAUAUGCCACCAGCGUUAAUUUAUUGCCCUUUUCAUAUAUUAUGCUGUUAUACUCUGGAAAAAAAAAGCCACAUUUCUAGGCUAUAACUCUAUAAAUCAGUACAAUUUGGUUUCUCUUUUUUUGUUAUUUUCUUCAAGGCUACUGUCUUCAUCUCCCUACAGGCUUCAUAACAAUAUGAUUCGUGUGCCCCAGUCUAACACUCAGUCCCAUUGUGAUGUGACCUCUACAAUACAAUAUAGUUAACUUUGAAGAUCAAAUUACAUAUCCCUCUG
Cyprinus carpio carpio is the source of this 1117-nucleotide long non-coding RNA. The record is from Ensembl. NCBI's taxonomy places the organism in Eukaryota, Metazoa, Chordata, Actinopteri, Cypriniformes, Cyprinidae.